This 22-nucleotide non-coding RNA is filed under the name Arabidopsis thaliana (thale cress). Lineage: Eukaryota; Viridiplantae; Streptophyta; Magnoliopsida; Brassicales; Brassicaceae. The record is from RNAcentral.
GUAUUUAGGUGUGUUUUGUUCA